GCCAGAGUGGCCUAGCUGUUUGAGCGUUGAACUAGGACUCUGGAGACCAGGGUUCGAAUCCCCGCUCGGUCA
Non-coding RNA from Phrynosoma platyrhinos (Desert horned lizard), 72 nucleotides. Lineage: Eukaryota; Metazoa; Chordata; Lepidosauria; Squamata; Phrynosomatidae. The record is from the annotation of a GenBank genome assembly.